AUUUUCAGAUGUAUCAACAAUGAAGAGUUGCUUGCUCACUUUUAUUUGAGCUAUUUAUUACUUUGGAACAGUCAAAAACACUCUAAGAAAGCUGUAAUUCAUGAGCAAAGUGCUGAUAGGCCGAUAAUAGAAAUAGGCUGAAAAAGGGUAUGGUUCCCCUCGAGGGGGACGUCACUCCUGCGUUCACCGAGCGAUAAAGCUCCCCUUUCAAACCUUUGCAGCGCUAACAUUUGCUUUUCCGCUUUAACUUGCUUUAACUCGCGUUAACCGCGAUAACUUGCUUUUUGGCUUACCUUUUGUUGCGAUCUCGCAUCAGACUGCUCGAUUUUUUUUGACAGCGAGAACUGUCAAAAGCAAAUGACAGUUCUCGUUGUCAAACCAUUCGAGCAGUUUGUUUUGUUUUCCUCUUGAAAGAAAAGGGACAAAUCAUCCGCCGGAACCGUUUCCUGCGCCUGCCACAGGUUUGUGUUCCGGGGACUCGAGACGGCUUCAUCACUGGCUCGGUCUUUCGUAGAUUUCGUGGUGGAGACAGCCUUCUCAGGUUGGGAAUCUGCAAAAAGGAUUGACCUGGAACGGCCAAGAAGAGCACGCCCUACAUCGACGGGACGCGGUCCGUCUUCAAGUGUGCCACCCGGACGAACCUUCCCAGUGCCGCUGGUCUGAGCAGAUACAAGUUGUAACAAUAUCGACGAAUCGUGCGCAUUUGCUUCCGGAGUUGAUCAAGUCGACUUGAGGCGAGCAGGCUGAAGGAACCGUGGAAAAGAGUGGUGCCAACCUGGAGGUGGUCAGGGUGAUCCUUGAGCUGGCCGUGAUAAUUAGGGCAUUCUAAAAUCUGUCGGAGUGCUUAUUGGAACUGGCCGGAAUCUGGUUCGAGAAAACUCACGAUGUUAAAGUGACUAAGUGAUCGAAAAGGAAAAUGCAAAGGAACAGAACGACAAUGUCAAGGCCUCCAUCAUGAUACUCCAAGAGUCAAGAUUGCGGAAAACGGUAGAUUGAGGAAGCGAAGAAAACGUGCAUAGAGGAAGUCACGAACGGUUUCGAUGCUAUCGGUGCCAGGUACGGCUGGUUCUGCAGCCAACAGUGGAUCGUCGUCCAGUUAGGAAAACAGCUCCUAAAACCAGGAGAUGACAAAACGCCGCUUCGCAAGAAAAAGAAGAAGUAAGACGCAACACUUCUGUGUAGUAACUAAUAAAUUGUAGUAGGAUGCGUUUU
Molecule: long non-coding RNA, 1212 nt
Organism: Culex pipiens pallens (northern house mosquito)
Lineage: Eukaryota; Metazoa; Arthropoda; Insecta; Diptera; Culicidae
Exons: 2
Source: RefSeq, a predicted model, not a curated record